This 320-nucleotide ribosomal RNA is filed under the name uncultured Campylobacterota bacterium. Its description in RNAcentral is "bacterial SSU rRNA". It matches the Rfam family "Bacterial small subunit ribosomal RNA", at positions 1075 to 1395 of the family's 1533-position model. Lineage: Bacteria; Pseudomonadati; Campylobacterota. The record is from RNAcentral.
UUGGGUUAAGUCCCGCAACGAGCGCAACCCUCGUGUUUAGUUACUAACAGUUCGGCUGAGGACUCUAGACAGACUGCCUGGGUAACCAGGAGGAAGGUGAGGACGACGUCAAGUCAUCAUGGCCCUUACGUCCAGGGCUACACACGUGCUCCAAUGGGGCAUACAAAGAGCAGCGAUACCGCGAGGUGGAGCAAAUCUCAUAAAAUACCUCUCAGUUCGGAUUGCAGUCUGCAACUCGACUUCAUGAAGUUGGAAUCGCUAGUAAUCGUGACUCAGCAAUGUCACGGUGAAUACGUUCCCGGGUCUUGUACUCACCGCCC